RNAcentral lists this ribosomal RNA (253 nucleotides) under uncultured bacterium. RNAcentral's name for it is "partial 16S ribosomal RNA". It matches the Rfam family "Bacterial small subunit ribosomal RNA", at positions 524 to 776 of the family's 1533-position model. The record is from RNAcentral.
GACGAAGGAUGCAAGCGUUAUCCGGAUUCAUUGGGUUUAAAGGGAGCGUAGGCGGUCUUAUAAGUCAGUGGUGAAAUCUCUUCGCUUAACGAAGAAACUGCCAUUGAUACUGUAGGACUUGAGUACAGAUGAUGUGGGCGGAAUAUGACAUGUAGUGGUGAAAUACUUAGAUAUGUCAUAGAACACCGAUUGCGAAGGCAGCUCACAAAACUGUAACUGACGCUGAGGCUCGAAAGUGCGGGGAUCAAACAGG